Non-coding RNA from Canis lupus familiaris (dog), 62 nucleotides. The record is from Rfam. Lineage: Eukaryota; Metazoa; Chordata; Mammalia; Carnivora; Canidae.
CAGGGGAGUCGGGGUUCGGCGCCCCUCCCCGAGCCCAGGGUAACCCUCAGAGUGGAGGGGCA